RNAcentral lists this ribosomal RNA (523 nucleotides) under Fusarium oxysporum. RNAcentral's name for it is "eukaryotic LSU rRNA". The stretch from base 169 to 322 matches the Rfam family "5.8S ribosomal RNA". The record is from RNAcentral. Lineage: Eukaryota; Fungi; Ascomycota; Sordariomycetes; Hypocreales; Nectriaceae.
GGCCUGCGGAGGGAUCAUUACCGAGUUUACAACUCCCAAACCCCUGUGAACAUACCACUUGUUGCCUCGGCGGAUCAGCCCGCUCCCGGUAAAACGGGACGGCCCGCCAGAGGACCCCUAAACUCUGUUUCUAUAUGUAACUUCUGAGUAAAACCAUAAAUAAAUCAAAACUUUCAACAACGGAUCUCUUGGUUCUGGCAUCGAUGAAGAACGCAGCAAAAUGCGAUAAGUAAUGUGAAUUGCAGAAUUCAGUGAAUCAUCGAAUCUUUGAACGCACAUUGCGCCCGCCAGUAUUCUGGCGGGCAUGCCUGUUCGAGCGUCAUUUCAACCCUCAAGCACAGCUUGGUGUUGGGACUCGCGUUAAUUCGCGUUCCCCAAAUUGAUUGGCGGUCACGUCGAGCUUCCAUAGCGUAGUAGUAAAACCCUCGUUACUGGUAAUCGUCGCGGCCACGCCGUUAAACCCCAACUUCUGAAUGUUGACCUCGGAUCAGGUAGGAAUACCCGCUGAACUUAAGCAUAUCAA